UACGGAGGGAGCUAGCGUUAUUCGGAAUUACUGGGCGUAAAGCGCACGUAGGCGGCUUUGUAAGUUAGAGGUGAAAGCCUGGAGCUCAACUCCAGAAUUGCCUUUAAGACUGCAUCGCUCGAAUCCGGGAGAGGUGAGUGGAAUUCCGAGUGUAGAGGUGAAAUUCGUAGAUAUUCGGAAGAACACCAGUGGCGAAGGCGGCCUUCUGGACGAACACUGACGCUGAGACACGAAAGCGUGGGGAGCAAACAGG
RNAcentral lists this ribosomal RNA (253 nucleotides) under uncultured bacterium. RNAcentral describes it as "partial 16S ribosomal RNA". It matches the Rfam family "Bacterial small subunit ribosomal RNA", at positions 524 to 776 of the family's 1533-position model. The record is from RNAcentral.